This is a long non-coding RNA of Zingiber officinale, 287 nucleotides long. RefSeq lists it as uncharacterized. The record is from RefSeq and is a predicted model, not a curated record. NCBI's taxonomy places the organism in Eukaryota, Viridiplantae, Streptophyta, Magnoliopsida, Zingiberales, Zingiberaceae. The transcript has 3 exons.
UUGUAGAGAAAGCAAAAGUCCGUGCCUUAAAACGCAUUGUUGGAGACCCCUUUAAAAAGGGUGUUGAACAAGGUCCUCAGAUUGAUGAGGAGUAGUUUAGCAAGAUCUUGCGUUACAUCAAAUCGGGAAUCAACAGUGGUGCUACGCUAGUAACAGGUGGAGAUCGAAUUGGAAACAAAGGUUAUUACAUUCAGCCGACUAUCUUCUCUGAUGUACAAGAUGAAAUGAAAAUAGCACAAGAUGAGAUCUACGGUCCUGUUCAAUCGAUCCUUAAGUUCAGGCAAGUG